This is a long non-coding RNA of Haliotis rubra (blacklip abalone), 131 nucleotides long. RefSeq lists it as uncharacterized. The transcript is spliced from 2 exons. The record is from RefSeq and is a predicted model, not a curated record. Lineage: Eukaryota; Metazoa; Mollusca; Gastropoda; Lepetellida; Haliotidae.
AGAGACAAGGGUUACUGGGGACCUAUUCUGUACUGGAACACCCAGAGAGACAAGGGUUACUAGGGACCUAUUCUGUACUGGAACAUCCAGAGAGACAAGGGGACCUCAGUACUAAUACUUGAAUCAUUCCU